RNAcentral lists this ribosomal RNA (253 nucleotides) under uncultured bacterium. RNAcentral describes it as "partial 16S ribosomal RNA". It matches the Rfam family "Bacterial small subunit ribosomal RNA", at positions 524 to 776 of the family's 1533-position model. The record is from RNAcentral.
UACGUAGGGUGCGAGCGUUACUCGGAAUUACUGGGCGUAAAGCGUGCGUAGGCGGUUCCUCAAGUCCGUUGUGAAAGCCCCGGGCUCAACCUGGGAAUGGCAGUGGAAACUAGGGGACUGGAAUCUGGCAGAGGGGGGUGGAAUGCCGCGUGUAGCAGUGAAAUGCGUAGAGAUGCGGCGGAACACCGAUGGCGAAGGCAGCCCCCUGGGCUGAGAUUGACGCUCAGGCACGAAAGCGUGGGGAGCAAACAGG